Molecule: ribosomal RNA, 502 nt
Filed under: uncultured bacterium
Lineage: Bacteria
Description: partial 16S ribosomal RNA
Rfam family: Bacterial small subunit ribosomal RNA
Source: RNAcentral
AUUGAACGCUGGCGGCAUGCCUUACACAUGCAAGUCGAACGGCAGCAUGGGUGCUUGCACCUGGUGGCGAGUGGCGAACGGGUGAGUAAUGCAUCGGAACGUACCUUUCAGUGGGGGAUAACGUAGCGAAAGUUACGCUAAUACCGCAUAUUCUGUGAGCAGGAAAGCAGGGGAUCGCAAGACCUUGCGCUGAGUGAGCGGCCGAUGUCAGAUUAGCUAGUUGGUGAGGUAAAGGCUCACCAAGGCGACGAUCUGUAGCGGGUCUGAGAGGAUGAUCCGCCACACUGGGGCUGAGACACGGCCCAGACUCCUACGGGAGGCAGCAGUGGGGAAUUUUGGACAAUGGGGGCAACCCUGAUCCAGCCAUGCCGCGUGAGUGAAGAAGGCCUUCGGGUUGUAAAGCUCUUUCGGCCGGGAAGAAAUCGCACAGGCUAAUACCUUGUGUGGAUGACGGUACCGGAAUAAGAAGCACCGGCUAACUACGUGCCAGCCGCCGCCGUAA